Molecule: long non-coding RNA, 210 nt
Filed under: Lathyrus oleraceus (garden pea)
Lineage: Eukaryota; Viridiplantae; Streptophyta; Magnoliopsida; Fabales; Fabaceae
Description: Pisum sativum (pea) long non-coding RNA (PSAT_LNC040636)
Source: RNAcentral
UCCAUCUUCCCUGAGCGAGUCUCUCCUAGCGCUCUCUAGGUUAGGGUUUUGGUUGCUUUGUGCUGUGUUUAUUUAUUGCAUUCAUUAUUUGUUCAUUUCAUUUAUUGAUUGCAUUGAUUGUGUGCAUUAAUGUUUGCAUUCAUAUUCAUUAUUCAUUCUGCCUGGCUGGUUGUCUGUUUUUCUUUGUGGGGUGGGAGUCAGUUGAGGUAA